AGAGCGUGAAGCUAUUCAAGCAGUUAGUUGUUACCUAACCAAAAGUGGAACACAUUCACCCGCCCUA
This 67-nucleotide transfer RNA is filed under the name Gibbosula crassa. Its description in RNAcentral is "tRNA-Asn". The record is from RNAcentral. Lineage: Eukaryota; Metazoa; Mollusca; Bivalvia; Unionida; Margaritiferidae.